Long non-coding RNA from Aphis gossypii (cotton aphid), 290 nucleotides. RefSeq lists it as uncharacterized. The record is from RefSeq and is a predicted model, not a curated record. The transcript has 3 exons. NCBI's taxonomy places the organism in Eukaryota, Metazoa, Arthropoda, Insecta, Hemiptera, Aphididae.
AGACGAAUGUACCAUACCCCCGGGGACAGGAUCAACACUAAAUAGUCUUCAAGCUGAAUCUCAUGGAAGGUCAUUUACGGUCUGGUAAUUUAAUUUUAACAAGACAAUUUAUGAACACUAGAUACACUCAUCGGCACCAGAAUAGCCGAGAACAGAUGAAUGAAUUUCCGGUUUUCAUAAAUAUAACAACAUAGAAUACAAUUGUAGACACUAUUCGCCAAAUGCCCCGCAACGACCGCAAAGUGCAAUGCAGCAGGUUCAUCGAUCUCAUGGUCGAAGGACAAGUCGAU